AACGAACGCUGGCGACAUGCCUAACACAUGCAAGUCGAACGGGAUCCUAGCUUGCUAGGUGAGAGUGGCGGACGGGUGAGUAACACGUGGGAAUCUGCCUUUUGGUUCGGGAUAACCGCGGGAAACUGCGGCUAAUACCGAAUGCCCUCGUGAGAGGAAAGAUUUAUCGCCAGAAGAGGAGCCCGCGUCCGAUUAGGUAGUUGGUGGGGUAAAGGCCUACCAAGCCGACGAUCGGUAGCUGGUCUGAGAGGAUGAUCAGCCACACUGGGACUGAGAUACGGCCCAGACUCCUACGGGAGGCAGUAGUGGGGAAUAUUGGACAAUGGGCGAAAGCCUGAUCCAGCCACGCCGCGUGAGUGAUGAAGGCCUUCGGGUUGUUAAAGCUCUUUCGUCACGCGACGAUGAUGACGGUAGCGUGAGAAGAAGCCCCGGCUAACUUCGUGCCAGCAGCCGCGGUAAU
This 460-nucleotide ribosomal RNA is filed under the name uncultured bacterium. RNAcentral's name for it is "bacterial SSU rRNA". It matches the Rfam family "Bacterial small subunit ribosomal RNA", at positions 29 to 524 of the family's 1533-position model. The record is from RNAcentral.